This 460-nucleotide ribosomal RNA is filed under the name uncultured bacterium. RNAcentral describes it as "partial 16S ribosomal RNA". It matches the Rfam family "Bacterial small subunit ribosomal RNA", at positions 338 to 795 of the family's 1533-position model. The record is from RNAcentral.
CCUACGGGAGGCAGCAGUGAGGAAUAUUGGUCAAUGGACGCAAGUCUGAACCAGCCAUGCCGCGUGCAGGAAGACGGCUCUAUGAGUUGUAAACUGCUUUUGUACGAGGAUAAACGCAGAUACGUGUAUCUGUCUGAAAGUAUCGUACGAAUAAGGAUCGGCUAACUCCGUGCCAGCAGCCGCGGUAAUACGGAGGAUUCGAGCGUUAUCCGGAUUUAUUGGGUUUAAAGGGUGCGUAGGCGGUCUGUUAAGUUAGUGGUGAAAUCCCGCGGCUCAACUUCGGAAUUGCCUUUGAUACUGGUAGGCUUGAGAGUAGUUGCGGUAGGCGGAAUGUAUGGUGUAGCGGUGAAAUGCUUAGAUAUCAUGCAGAACACCGAUUGCGAAGGCAGCUUACCAAGCUGCUUCUGACGUUGAGGCACGAAAGCGUGGGGAGCAAACAGGAUUAGAUACCCCGGUAGUC